Molecule: ribosomal RNA, 468 nt
Filed under: uncultured bacterium
Lineage: Bacteria
Description: partial 16S ribosomal RNA
Rfam family: Bacterial small subunit ribosomal RNA
Source: RNAcentral
GACGAACGCUGGCGGCGUGCUUAACACAUGCAAGUCGAACGGAAAGGCCCUGCUUUUGUGGGGUGCUCGAGUGGCGAACGGGUGAGUAACACGUGAGUAACCUGCCCUUGACUUUGGGAUAACUUCAGGAAACUGGGGCUAAUACCGGAUAGGAGCUCCUGCUGCAUGGUGGGGGUUGGAAAGUUUCGGCGGUUGGGGAUGGACUCGCGGCUUAUCAGCUUGUUGGUGGGGUAGUGGCUUACCAAGGCUUUGACGGGUAGCCGGCCUGAGAGGGUGACCGGCCACAUUGGGACUGAGAUACGGCCCAGACUCCUACGGGAGGCAGCAGUGGGGAAUAUUGCAUAAUGGGCGGAAGCCUGAUGCAGCAACGCCGCGUGCGGAAUGACGGCCUUCGGGUUGUAAACCGCUUUCGCCUGUGACGAAGCGUGAGUGACGGUAAUGGGUAAAGAAGCACCGGCUAACUACGUG